Molecule: long non-coding RNA, 835 nt
Filed under: Bos taurus (domestic cattle)
Lineage: Eukaryota; Metazoa; Chordata; Mammalia; Artiodactyla; Bovidae
Description: long non-coding RNA NONBTAT022142
Source: RNAcentral
UUUGGAGUUUUAAAAAAUGAUUUCAAUAUAGUGAGAGGCUUAAAAUACCCUCUACUGUGGCUGGGCUGCUUGUCACCUCCUUGCAUACAGUAAGUGGUCUGUUAACUGUCCCCUGUGGUGGCUUUUUGAGAAAGUGGACCCUCUUCCCAAAGAGGCGGAUUUCUACUUCGAACUGGCUAUCUGACCACUAAUAGCACUGCAAUCUGUGAAGAACCCUGCAGAAACUGCUUACUGCAGGGGUCUGGUGAUAGCAGAGCUAUAACGACUAACCCACCUGCAAGCCAAGGGGUCUCAGUCGGCAGGCACACCCUCCCAGGUGUCAACCUCACGGCCCACCCUUCCAAGGUCAGGAGAGAUGCUGGGGAGUUGUUCCUAUCCAGGCAGCAGUUGGGCAUGAAGCUGAAGAUGCUGCUUGACAUUUAGAUUUUGAAUAAAAUAAGUUCUAUGCAGAUUUUUUUCUCACGCGCCCCUGUCAUCCCUGGCAGGCUACAUUACACGGGUCAUAUGCAGCAGUGUGAUCGUAAGCACCACGCUGAGAAGUAGGUACUGGGUAAUGGAGUCAGCAGUUGGUAAGGGGAGGCUGGGAGGAGCCUGAACAUUCCUGCAGUUCCUCCCUAAGACCACCAGGCCCCAGAGAGAUCCUGAAAGGCAGGCACAAAAGUAAUGCCAAGGAAGAGCAAUCACCUCCAUUGCAACUCUUUCCUUAUCAUUUUAUUGGUCUUUCCUUUUUUAUUAUUGGAGUUAUCCCAAAGUUACAGGUCAGUAUACUAAACUAGGUUUAUAAGUAAGCUAGGCUAAAGAGAAGGUUUUGUUCUGGUGCAAUGUUCAUGUUUUG